CCACAUGCUUCGAGCCAUGCUUGAGUUGAGCCAGCGAGCGGAGCCGGUGGUGGUGCCGGAGAUGUUAACUUUUUCCAUGGCCAACAUGAUAGGGCAAGUGAUACUAAGCCGCCGGGUGUUUGAAACAAAAGGGUCGGAGUCAAAUGAGUUCAAGGACAUGGUGGUGGAGCUCAUGACCACUGCUGGGUACUUCAAUAUUGGCGAUUUUAUUCCGUCCAUCGCAUGGCUGGACAUCCAAGGGAUCCAGCGCGGGAUGAAGCAUUUACAUAGGAAGUUCGACCGGUUAUUAACAAAGAUGAUGGAGGAGCACACGGCGUCAGCCCAUGAGCGGAAGGGAAACCCAGAUUUUCUGGACGUAAUCAUGGCAAACCAAGAAAAUUCUACAGGGGAGAAGCUCACUAUUACCAACAUUAAAGCACUCCUCCUGGUAUGCAUAGUUAAAGCUCGUCUUUAAUUUUGUUUUCCGAUAUUUUCUUUCCGGAAACAGCACUUUUAUUGGUUUUAGAUAUGUACGUUUUUAUCAGGUAGCCAUUUUAGGGGCACAUAACUGUUCUUUAUUUUUGGACUUUUUUUUUUCUUUUUCCACUUGCAUGGUUGUUUUCAUAUGCUCAGCUGCAUGGCACAAGAAAAUUGUGAAAAAUGAUUGGUUCUCUGAUCAGACCUUCUGCACCAAAACACACUUCUCUCUAUUUUAUAAAAUCGGUUUACAUGAUUUUUCAACCAGCUUCCUUGAACUUGAACUUUUGCUAGGGCUAAUGCAAAAAAUGAUGGAUCUCAAUUUUCAAUAGCGUUUGAUUACAUAAAUUUCAAGUAUGUGAACAUAUUUUUGUUUCCUUGGCUAGAAUUUAUUUACUGCAGGAACAGACACUUCAUCGAGCGUAAUCGAGUGGUCUCUGGCUGAGAUGUUGAAAAACCCGAGCAUCCUCAAGCGUGCUCACGAAGAAAUGGAUAAAGUGAUUGGAAGGAGCCGGCGGCUCGUGGAGUCUGACUUGCCAAAACUUCCAUACCUACAAGCCAUAUGCAAGGAAAGCUUCCGGAAGCACCCAUCCACCCCAUUGAACCUUCCUCGUGUCUCAACCCAAGCAUGUGAAGUGAACGGCUACUACAUCCCAGAGAACACUAGACUUAGCGUNNNNNNNNNNNNNNNNNNNNNNNNNNNNNNNNNNNNNNNNNNNNNNNNNNNNNNNNNNNNNNNNNNNNNNNNNNNNNNNNNNNNNNNNNNNNNNNNNNNNCAAAAUCCAUCCCUCAUCUCUCUCACAAUUUUCUCUUUACCUCUUCUCUUCUUUCCAGUUUCUUUUUAUUUUAUUUUUCAUGCAGACAGAAUCCCCUUACUUUCCUUUGUUUCUCUCUUUAAAAAUUCUGAUUUUGCCCUAAAAAAAAUUGAUUUUUCUCUUUAAAUAUUUUAAUUUUCCUCCUCCAAAUUCUGAUUUGCCUUUCUAAAAUUUCAGAUCUUCCCAACCCAAAUUAAAUUCCGAUUUCCCCCGGUAAAAUUCUGGAUUUUCUCAUCCAAGAUAGUCAAUUUUUUAUUUUUUUUCAAAAGACAUUAUGGGUGUAUUUUGAAAAAUUGAAAAGGUAAUCAUGCAUGGCCAUGUGAGGAGAGAAGAAAAAGUAAAGUAGAUAAGUUGGCAGACAGCAUUGAUGGGAGAAUAAAAGUUCAAAAAUCAAUAAAAUAAUAUUAGAAUAAAAUAAAGAAAAGAAAUAGUGAGUAAAAAGAAUGUAACAUUCGUAAUCUAAGACAUAUAUAUAUAUAUAUAUAUAUAUGUGGGGAAAUUUAAUUUAUAAAGGAAAAUUGGGUUUUAAUUCACUAAUUUAAGUGAAUAAAAAAAAAGAACUCUAAAUUAUAAAUUAAUUUUAUUUUCAUCAAUUUAAAAAUAUUUUACAAUAUAUAUACUUUUUUAUAACUCAAAUAAUUAUUUCUUGAAAUAAUAUUUUUACUUGUUAUGUUAAUAACACCAAUUAAUAAAUAAAAACUAUAAAAUAUAAAAUAUAAAAAUAAAAUAUUAAUUUUCAUUAGUUAAACACAUGUUGGUAGAAAAUAUAGAUAUCCAAAAAGAGUUGGAAAUACAACAAGAAUCAAUAUUUAUUUUUAAAAUUUUAAGUUUUUUUUAAUUGUAUUUACUUUUUAUAUAUUUUAGCUUUAAUUGUAUUUUUUAUUUGAUGGUUGAUUUUAACUAACAAAUUUUUUUAUUCAAUUUUAUUGAAAAAUAAGAAGAUGGGCUUUAUAUAAUAUAGAAUAUAAAAUCAUUAUUAUUUAAAGGAUAAAAAAAAAUUUUAUUUAUCACGAUUUGAAUAAUUUUUUCACAAUGAUUUGCAUCUUAUAAUAAAAAAUUUAUAAUAUAUUUAUUUGUACUAUACUUUUAUCAAAUUAAAUUGAUCAAUUAAUUUUGGAUUAUUUAUUUAAUAUUAUCAAGUAAAAUGGUAUUUAGAAAAUAAUUAUUUGAGUUAUAAAAAAGUAUAUGUAUUUUAAAAUAUUUUUUAAAUUGAUGAAGAUAAAAUUGAUUUAUAAAAAUUAAAGUUUUUUUUUUUUAAAUUAGUGAAUAAAACCCCCAUUUUUUUUUUAACUUUAUAAUGUAGCCAUGGGAUUUUAUAACAUAAGCAAAUUUUACGUGAAAGAGGAAAAAAAUCAACUUUUCAAUUUCCAAUAAUUAUUAUUAUUAUUAGAAAUAUUUGAUUAAAAAAGAUGAAAUAAUCCCCAAAAUCGGAAAUCUAACCCUUCCUAUGCUUUUUCUAAAAAAGUAAUCCAUUUUUUUUUACAUAAAUACCAUUUUCUAUUUCAAGUAUCCAAUUUGGCUGAUUCUUAAUUAGUUGGCAUCAUUACUAUUCUGUAAUUAGUUAGAAUAGUAUUAGGAGUUGAAGGUCAGUUGGAAUACAGGCUUAUGGAAACAAAUCUAUCCCAUUAGUUGGUUCUUAUUAUUUUUAUUAUUUUCAAUAUAGGAGAUGGGCAGCCGCGCCCUUUUGUCUGGGGGCCAUCCUCCCAACUUAUUAAAGGUGAUAUGAGAUUAAGAUUUUAACACUUCUCCUACCAUCGUCAUGACCUGGCUCUCCACAAGCACACCCAGUGCUGACACGUGACUAACAAACCUUCGCUCAUCUACCAAACCCAUGGCCUCAUGCCUUAUAUAUUUCCACAAACCUAGCUCAAUUUUCAUAGCCACCUUCACUAUCCUAUACUCACUAAGCCAUGGCCAUAGAUACAAGCCUCUUGCUUGAGUUUGCUGCAGCAACUCUACUCUUCUUCAUCACCCGCUUCUUCAUUCGUUCUCUCCUUCCCAAACCUUCCCGGAAGCUCCCCCCUGGCCCCAGAGGGUGGCCGCUCCUCGGCGCUCUUCCUCUUCUAGGUAACAUGCCUCAUGUUGCAUUAGCAAAGAUGGCCAAAAGAUACGGGCCUGUCAUGUUCUUGAAAAUGGGCACUAACAGCAUGGUGGUGGCCUCAACUCCCGAGGCGGCUCGGGCUUUCCUUAAAACGCUAGACAUUAAUUUCUCUAACCGCCCGCCUAAUGCCGGUGCCACACUCUUGGCCUAUCAUGCCCAAGACAUGGUUUUUGCGGAUUAUGGGGCAAGGUGGAAGCUACUGAGAAAGCUAAGCAACUUACACAUGCUUGGUGGGAAGGCUCUUGAGGACUGGUCUCAGGUCCGAGCUGUUGAGCUAGGCCACAUGCUUCGAGCCAUGCUUGAGUUGUGCCAGCGAGCGGAGCCGGUGGUGGUGCCGGAGAUGUUAACUUUUUCCAUGGCCAACAUGAUAGGUCAAGUGAUUCUAAGCCGCCGGGUGUUUGAAACAAAAGGGUCGGAGUCAAAUGAGUUCAAGGACAUGGUGGUGGAGCUCAUGACCAGUGCUGGGUACUUCAAUAUUGGCGAUUUUAUUCCGUCCAUCGCAUGGCUGGACAUCCAAGGGAUCCAGCGCGGGAUGGAGCAUUUACAUAGGAAGUUCGACUGGUU
RNAcentral lists this long non-coding RNA (3936 nucleotides) under Vitis vinifera (wine grape). RNAcentral's name for it is "long non-coding RNA (VVIN_LNC001898)". Lineage: Eukaryota; Viridiplantae; Streptophyta; Magnoliopsida; Vitales; Vitaceae. The record is from RNAcentral.